GUAAAUGCAACAGUCCAAUACAACUAAGCAAGAUAUUAUAGCCAAAUGUUUUCUUUCUUUAAAGGAAAUGAUAAUUUACCGGAGGGGGAUUGGCUUGGUUGCCUUGUCGGGUUUCAUGCAGAACUAUAGAGGCAUUUGGAAUUGGGCGUGGGAUUUGAUUGGGAUCAACUUUUGAUGGGCUGGUAUGACCAAUAGAAGGUGUUAUCGAAGCCACUGCCUGAUUUGUAGAGGCAUUUGGAAUUGGGCGCGGGAUUUGAUUGGGAUCAACUUUUGAUGGGCUGGUAUGACCAAUAGAAGGUGUUAUCGAAGCCACUGCCUGAUUUGGAAGAGGAGGCGUCAUUCCGUACAUACUUGGUGGUUGCAUCGAACCAGGAAUAGCAGAAAGUGGAGGCCCCUGUCAAUAAGUAAACUCAGAAUAUGUACUUCACAUGAAAGUGGAAAUACAAUAAAAGCAAACUGAAACCAAUCUACUUGAUCCAAAAUAUCCCCAGAAUUUUAGAAUUUCAUUAGAAAACAAAGGAAAAAACACUUCUUAUCAAAAAUAAAAAAAUAAAGAAAAGUACCAGGUACUUUAGGGUGUUCUUAGAUUAAAUGUAUUAGAAAACAAAGGAAAAACACUUCUUACCAAAACAAACUAAAGAAAACACUAUAUUGGAAAAAUGCCAUGUACUUUAGGGUGUUUUUGAAUUAAAUGUAAAUUUUUUGUGAGGUUGCUAUACCUCUUCUUCUAAUUACGAAGGGAUAGCUAGGUUGUUGUAGCUUCAGUUGUGAAAGACAGUUUCCUUUUCAGAUGGUCCAGCCAAACUUAAGCAAACUUGUAUACUUAAGAUUUUAUUUUUAUUUUUGAUAAAUACUUAUAUACUUAAUAUUAAGACAAUGAUUAUGUAAAUAGUGGCACAUUAAGUAACAAAUUCAUAGAAGGAUUUCAUUAUUUACGCUUUGAAUUAUUUUAGACAAAUAAGCAAAUGAUACUCAAAAGAAAUUUUUAACAAUUUUCAAGAACGUUUGUAUCCCAAGCAAAGAUAUAAAAGCUUAUAAAUAAAAACAAAUCCUAUUUAUAGAGUAAAAAUAAAUAAACAAUAAUAAAAAAUAUUAUUUAAUAGCUUCGAAUAAUGAAAGAAUUCCAUACAACAUGUUAAAAGUUAAAAGAUAAAGUAUCUCACAUAGGUAAUUUUAUUAAUAGCGGAAAAGAUAAAAAGAAAAUUUAUAAUGCACAGACAACAACAAAAAAAACCAGUGUAAUCCUAUAAGUGGGAUCUGGAGAUGGUAGUGUGUACACGGACCUCGCCCCUACCUUGAAAAGAUAGAGAGGUUGUUUCCGAUUGACAUUCGGCUCAAGGAAAGAUGAAAAAUGAAGCAAUGGCAACAUAAUGCACAUAAUACUAAAAUGAGAAUUAUUUAAAAUAGUGGUACAUGUUAUUACAAAUUCAUAAAAGGACUUCUCUAAUUAUCUUUGAAUGAAUUAGAAAUCACAAGUUCCUGGAUAUUAUUGAUUCUUUCUAUCCUACAGUCAUGAAGCAUCUCUUUAACGCUAGAUUUUGAUGAUUACUAAAGAUCAUUAAACGCGUAGAAUUUGAUUAUUGACACAUCUCGUGUGACUUGUUGAUCCAAAAACUUCUGUCCAGAUAAAGAAAUAUAUAUCCUAUGACUUCCUUAUUUUGUAGUCUAUCAUAGGCAAGAACUAAACAUAUCACUCAGCUUCAAAGAUCACAUAAAAUAAAUUAUACUCGGCUAAUGAGUUUAGUGGAAAUUCUUAACACCGUGCAUCUGAAGAAAACUCUUAUUUUUGUCCCUCCAAUAGCAUAUUCACAUGACUCUAUCAUACCUUCAUUUAUGGAAAAAUACAUAAAUUUCACCUUUCAAAACAAGUACAGUAAGAUACGCAUAUAAAAUCACCUGAUGGGGUGGCAUUUGCCACGACUGUGUUCCAUAAGGGGCACCCAUGGAUGGAGGCAUGCCUUGACCAGGUGCUGCAAAUGGAGAGGAACCCGGAGGUGGCACAUUCUGCAAUGAUCCCGAAAAUGGUGCUGGCGGUUGUGUUGUAACUGGUGUUGUGCUGACAGAUGAUGGACCGCCAAAGGGUGAGCGCAUGCUCGGAG
Molecule: long non-coding RNA, 2099 nt
Filed under: Nicotiana benthamiana
Lineage: Eukaryota; Viridiplantae; Streptophyta; Magnoliopsida; Solanales; Solanaceae
Description: long non-coding RNA (NBEN_LNC007985)
Source: RNAcentral